GACGGAGGAUGCAAGCGUUGUCCGGAAUUAUUGGGCGUAAAGAGCUCGUAGGCGGUUUGUCGCGUCUGCUGUGAAAACCCGAGGCUCAACCUCGGGCCUGCAGCCGAUACGGGCAGACUAGAGUUCGGCAGGGGAGACUGGAAUUCCUGGUGUAGCGGUGAAAUGCGCAGAUAUCAGGAGGAACACCGGUGGCGAAGGCGGGUCUCUGGGCCGAUACUGACGCUGAGGAGCGAAAGCGUGGGGAGCGAACAGG
RNAcentral lists this ribosomal RNA (253 nucleotides) under uncultured bacterium. RNAcentral describes it as "partial 16S ribosomal RNA". It matches the Rfam family "Bacterial small subunit ribosomal RNA", at positions 524 to 776 of the family's 1533-position model. The record is from RNAcentral.